RNAcentral lists this small nuclear RNA (132 nucleotides) under Ochotona princeps (American pika). RNAcentral's name for it is "U2 spliceosomal RNA (ENSOPRG00000022525.1)". It matches the Rfam family "U2 spliceosomal RNA". From Rfam's summary of the family: U2 is a small nuclear RNA (snRNA) component of the spliceosome (involved in pre-mRNA splicing). Complementary binding between U2 snRNA (in an area lying towards the 5' end but 3' to hairpin I) and the branchpoint sequence (BPS) of the intron results the bulging out of an unpaired adenosine, on the BPS, which initiates a nucleophilic attack at the intronic 5' splice site, thus starting the first of two transesterification reactions that mediate splicing. Lineage: Eukaryota; Metazoa; Chordata; Mammalia; Lagomorpha; Ochotonidae. The record is from RNAcentral.
AUCGCUUCUCGGCCUUUUGGCUAAGAUCAAGUGUAGAAUCUCAUCUUGCCAAUAUCAGGCAAUUGUCCUGCCAGGCGUUCUAUUAAGAAAGGUGAUCUGCUAUAAAAAUAUCAAGACAUUCUCCCAAUUUAA